RNAcentral lists this small nuclear RNA (21 nucleotides) under Arabidopsis thaliana (thale cress). RNAcentral's name for it is "snRNA_18325". Lineage: Eukaryota; Viridiplantae; Streptophyta; Magnoliopsida; Brassicales; Brassicaceae. The record is from RNAcentral.
AAACUGACAAAUCUAAGCAAA